Molecule: long non-coding RNA, 7064 nt
Filed under: Sus scrofa (pig)
Lineage: Eukaryota; Metazoa; Chordata; Mammalia; Artiodactyla; Suidae
Description: lncRNA (ENSSSCG00005038264.1)
Source: RNAcentral
GGACCAUGAUAGGAAAAGCACCAUGUAUGUUUGUGUAAUACACAAAACACACACACAAACACACACUCCAUGUAUAUCAGGUUUAUGUGCGUGCAAUAGAAUUCAACCUUUUCAGCAAACAGUUCUAUGCACAGACUUGUGUAACAACCACCAUAAUCACAAUAUAGAAUAUUUUCAUCACCUUUCAAAUGUCCUUCAUACUUCCUCUUCGAAGUCAAUCCCAAACCCCUGACAACUACUGAUCUGUUUUCUGUACCUGUAGUUUGGUUUUAUCUAGAAUGUCCAUAAACGGAAUCAUACAGUAUGGACCCUUUGAGGCUUGGUUUCUUUCACUUACCAUAAUACAAGUGAGAUAGAUCCAUGUUGUGGUUGCAUGAAUCAGUAGCUCUUUCAUUUUUUAUUGCUGAGUAGUAUUCGUUUGUAUGCAUGAACCUAUAACAAUUUUCCAUUCAUGAGUUGAAGGAUAUAUAGGUUGUUUCGUUUUUGGUGAUUAUGAAUAAAGCUGCUGUAAACAUUCAUGUUACUGUAAGUUUUCUUUUCUCUUUAGUAAAUUACUAAAACUGACAUUGCUGGGACAUAUGGUAGGUGUAUGUGUGAAUGUAUAAGAAACUGCUAAAUAGUUUUUGAAAGUGGUUGGAUCAUUUUUUAUUCCCACUAGGAAUGUGAGAUGCUCUGUGUUCUUGUCAGCACUUAGUAGCGUCAGCUUUUAAAAUUUUAUCCACUCUAACAUGUGUAUUGUGGUAAUACACUAUAGGUUUUUUUUUUUGUUUGUUUGUUUGUUUUGUUCUUUUUUGUUGUUGACUUUUUUUUUUUUCUUUUUAGGUCUGCACUCGUGGCAUAUGGAGUUUCCCAGGCUAGGGGUCGAACUGGAGCUACAGCUGCCAGCCACAGCCACAGCAACACUGGAUCUGAGCCACAUCUGUGACCUACACCACAGCUCAUGGCAACGCUGGAUCCUUAACCCACUGAGCAAGGCCAGGGAUCAAACCUGCAACCUCAUAGUUCCUAAUCAGAUUUGUUUCCACUGUGCCACAAUGGGAACUCCCACACUGUAAUGUAGUUUUAAUUUUACACUUUCUGUUGACUAAUGAUGUUCUUUUAAUGAGCUUAUAUAACAUCCUCCAAAAGACAUUUAUUGGUGAAAUGUGUGCUCAAUAUUUUGCCCACUUAAAAAAGUGGGUUAUGUCCUUCAAAUUGUGUUUUGAGAGUUUAAAAAUAUAUAUCUGGAUACAAAUCCCUUAUCAAAUAUAUAAUUUAAAAAUACUUUCUCCCAGUCUGUGAUAUGCUUUCUCAUUUUCUUAACAGAGUCUUGUGAAAACCAAAGUUUUAAACUUUGGCAAAGUCCACAAUUUACCAAUUUUUUUCCUUUAUAGAUCAUGCUUUUUGUAUUAUAAGAAUUCUUUGCUUAACCCAAAAUUAUAUGGAUUUUCCCCUAUGUUUUCCCAAAUAAAUUUAAAAAUUUAAGUUUCACAUUUAUGUUAUAAUCUGUUUUGAGUUAAUUUUUUUCGUAAAUUGUGGGAGAUAUGGAUUGAGGUUCAUUUUUUUUUUUUUGCCUAUGGAUAUUCAAUAGUUCCAACACAAUUUGUUGAAGAUAUUCUCCACUGAAUUAAUUUUGCAAUUUUGUCAAAAGUCAGUUGACCAUAAUGUGCAUGUUCAUUUCUGGACUUUCUAUUAUGUUCCAUUAAUUUCUGUAUCUUUUUUUUUUUUUUUUUUUCCAUUUNNNNNNNNNNNNNNNNNNNNNNNNNNNNNNNNNNNNNNNNNNNGGGGUCAAAUCGGAGCUGUAGCUGCCAGCCUACACCACAGCCACAGCAACACGGGAUCCGAACCGCAUCUGCAACCUACACCACAGCACACAGGCAACGCCGGAUCCUUAACCCACUUAGCAAGGCCAGGGAUCGAACCCACAACCCACAACCUUAGUCAGAUUCAUUAACCACUGAGCCAUGAUGGGAACUCCAUCUGUAUCUUUUCUUUCACCAACUUGAUUACAAUAGCCUUAUAGUAAGUGUUAAAAUCAGUUUAGUGUAAAUUCUCCAACACUUUUUUAUUUUUGAAAUUGUUUUUUGGCUAUUUUAGUUCCUUCACUUUUCCAUAGAAAUUUUAGUGUCAGUGUGUGAAUUUCUACAGCACAUCCUGGUAAGACUGAAUGAGAUUGUAUUAAGUUUAUAAGUCAACUUGGGGAGAACUAUACAUGGCAUAUCUCCCCAUUCAUUUAGGUCCUCUUUGUUUUGUCAUGUUCAGCAUAUAGAUCUCGUGCAUAUUCUGUUUGCUUUACACUUAAGCACUUCAUGCUUUUAGGUAUGAUUAAAAAUAGUACUUUUUUCAAUUUCAGUUGUUCAUUGCCAAUAUAUAAAAAAAUAUAUAUAAUUGAUUUUUAUAUACUAAUAGUGUAUCCUAUGCUCUUGCCAAACUCACUUAUUCUAGCUUUUGUUUGGGGGGUAGACUCUGGGAUUUUCUACAUUGACAAUCAUGUUUUCUGUUUAAGUAGAGACAGUUUUAUUUUUUUCCUUUUUGAUCUGUAUGCCUAGAUUUUGUAUAUGAUUUAAACUAUUUCACUUAGAACAUUUUUUCUUUCUUUCUUUCUUUCUUUUUUCUUUUUUUCUUUUUGCCAUUUCUUGGGCUGCUCCCGAGGCAUAUGGAAGUUCCCAGGCUAGGGGUCCAAUUGGAGCUGUAGCUGCUGGCCUAUGCCAGAGCCACAGCAACGCGGGAUGUGAGCCACGUCUGCAGCCUACACCAGGGUUCACGGCAACGCUGGAUCCUUAACCCACUGAGUAAGGCCAGGGAACGAACCCGAAACGUCAUGGUUCCUAGUCAGAUUCUAACCACUGAGCCAUGACGGGAACUCCUAGAACAUUUUCUUCUUCUUCUUUUUUUUUUUUUUUUUUUCCCCCGGGAGUUGUAGCCCCCAGCCUACGCCAGAGCCACAGCAACGCAGGAUCCCAGCCACGUCUGCAACCUACACCACAGCUAACGGCAACGCCAGAUCGUUAACCCACUGAGCAAGGGCAGGGACCGAACCCGCAACCUCAUGGUUCCUAGUCAGAUUCGUUAACCACUGCGCCACGACGGGAACUCCCUAGAACAUUUUCUUUUGAGAAAAAUAUUUUCACAAGAUUAAGUCCUUGCCAAAUUGGCUUUCUGAAUCAUUAAAAGGAUUUGGAUCCCAAAGGCCUGAGCCCAACCAGAUAAUGUACUUAGGUUGAGUCGUAGGUUCCUAUCUGUUUUUCCUCAAAUCCUUAUUUCAGGACAUGGGUCAUCUUUCUGCAUUGAUUGACAUACUCUAUCAUCAAACCAGAGAAUGGGCAUAAAUGAGCUUUGGACUUAAAGAAUCAAAGAGGUUCCCAUUACCACUAUGAUUUUUUUUAAAACAUUUUAUUAAUGAUUUAAAUUUUUUUUUUCACUAUAGCUAGUUUACAGUGACCACUACAAUUCUUAAUUUGGGUAAUUGCCAAGAUCACCAGGUACUGAGGUCCCCUUAAUGCUUAUGAGAGAUGAAACUUUUGGUGUUAGAUUUAUAUGAUGGACUUAAUUCUAGUCUACAUUUAGGGCCAACCUCUUCUUGAAGAGGACACAUACCCUGAAGAACAGUCAUGUGAUGGUUGUCCAUGUGUGGAUCGAAACUCAUGCCUCCUCCUUCCCCAACCCAACAUGGGCCUGAGUUGUUUCUUUUGCUCUAUGUAGACCGUCUAUAAUUUUCACCCUUCAAAGCUGUGCUACCAGAAGAUGAUUUUAUAUAGGUUUGAGUUUUGCAUAAUAGCGACUUGUUAUUUUCCUAUUUUGAGUUGGUCCGUGAGGAUGACGUGCAGGGUAAUUCAUGUAGUCAGGGGACCCCUGCCAUUAUUGUCAGUGGUAAGCAGCCUUGAAAUAGCCCUUAGACUUAAGAGCCUUCACACUGAGCAGAGGCCACCUCCUCCAUGGGCUCAGCUGGUACCCUCGCUGCUACAUUUGACACCCCGAGGUCCAGCUACCUUGCUGGAGUGUGUGUGAGUCAGGAGCAGGCUCUCUAUCUUACUCUUAUAUUCCCAAGGUCCAACUCAGGGCUUGGCUGCUCUUACUGACUGAAUGAGGCCUAUAAAUAUACCUAGAAGUCAGUUGGGCCCAGUGUGGAGGGCAAGUGAUCUAGCAUCAGGUUUGAGGCUGAGCACUGCUGCCUGUCCAAGUCACUUAUUCUCUUAAAGCUGUGUUUUCCCAUCUGUGAAAUGUCGCUAUAAUCUACCUCAUUUGUUAUCAUUGUGGAGUGCUUAGUUCAUCAUCUUCUACUCAGAGUAAAUGGAUGUUAGUAGAAUUGUUAUUUAAUAGAUACACUGUGUCAUUUGAUCCUAACUACCAGCAGAUCCUCCCUCCCCAAUUCAGUUGCUUCCCCUGGUUGAAUAGGAGUUCAGAGGUAUUGCUGCACAAUUUGGCCAUCCCCAGUGGCAUCAAUGUGGCCACCGGGGGAAGGGGUGUGCCACCGAAUAUUUAGGUGCUCAUAUUAUCUAAGAUGCCAAAUGACCUAUUUACAGUGGUAACUGCACAGAGUGAUAGCCAGGCUACAUGAGCUUCCAUGCUAGUGUCAGCAUCCAGGGUUUUAUAUUUAGCAGGAUUUACAGGAAGUGCUAAUAUGAACAGGCUGGCCCAAGUCUGGAGGUCAUGGAAGCAAUCCAGAAAACAGAAAGAUACUCUCUCCCCAAAUUCUAAGGGAUAUGUUCCAACCUUCCAGGCAACAAUUCACCCUGCAAGUUUCGAUAGAGUAUCUCUUCAUUUAUUCUUCCUGGUAUCCUCAAUCCUUUCUGAAGGACACCAGCAUUGUUAGCUUGACAUAACGUUGGGGUUUGGAGUAUGCUCUCGUUAGCACUUGAAUAUGAAUUUUAUUUCUAAAUUUUUAAACUCCCCAAAUUACAGGAAAAGCUGUGAUUCCCAUAAAUUCAGUCUCUAGUGUAAAAGUGUACAUUCCUGAUGCAUGUAUUUUGGUGUUCUUUUCUUUUUUUCUUUAUUUUUUAAACUAAGAACUUGGGUGAUGUUCUAAAAGCAUUUGACGAUGGCCUCAUUUUGAAGAUGGUCAUGUAAAUUUUUUGCUGUCUAAAUAAUUUAAUCCUUCAGUUAGAGAAUAAGCUCUUGAGCAAUAUUAUUUUGGGGCCACAUAUGUAAAAUGUUUUUUUUUUUUUUUUUUUUUUUUUUUUUUUUUNNNNNNNNNNNNNNNNNNAAUAUUCUUUUUGAAAAAUAGAUUCCCCAUCAAAAUAAGAACAUGUCAAUAUGGCCACAGUUUUAUAAUGUGAAAGAACACCCCUACAUGUAUAUGUAUGUACGUUCUUGUGUUCAUGCCUAUGGGCAGUAAAACUAGUUUUUUCUAGGUGUGUGGGUAUUUUGAUUUCCUGUGUGUUUUUCUGUAUUUCAAAAUGUCUGUAAUGAUUAAAUAGAAAAGCAAUAAUUACUGUAUCUAAAAAGAGAAGCUCUUCUAUUUUUUGAAUUUUUAUUUUAUUUUUAUGUUUUGCUUUUUAGGGCUGCACCUGCAGCAUAUGGAGGUUCCCAGGCUAGGGGCUGAAUCAGAGCUAUGGCUGCCAGUCUAUACCACAGCCACAGCAAUGCAGGAUUCAAGCCGCGUCUGUGACCUACACCACAGCUCAUGGCAACGCUGGAUUCUUAACCCACUGAGCAAGGCCAGGGAUUGAACCUGCAACCUCAUGGUUACUAGUCGAAUUCGUUGCUGCUGCACCACAAUAGGAACUCCAAAGAGAAGCUCUUUUAAAGAAGCUCUGGCCAGGAAAAAAAUAUGAUUAUAUUAUUUGGCCAGAUACUUCCAGAAUUAAGAAAUUAAAGAGAGAUUUUUAAGGCUGAAUUUACCAGAAAUGUAAUAACCUCAAAUGUAGUCUAUAAAUUUACAGUUCUAUUGACGGAGUGUGGAGAAAGAGUACAUCAUUAGCAACACUGUGGAUUUUUAUGUUUUUCUUUGUAAAUCAGAUUGAAAAGGAAGAGCAAGCCCACCCCUCGGAAGAAGUGAUGGAGGAGUUUCAGGUGAAUGGACGGCCUCAGCUCUCAGUCUCUCUGCUUCUGGACCCACAUGCCCUUGGACAGGUUAUCUGGCUUUGAAUAUGAUGCAGGGGCAGACACCUGCUGAUGCAGCAACUGCCAAUGCCCACAGUCUCCAUGUCGUGGGGGCUGCUGGGCAGCCAGCCUGGAGGCGCAAUUGCUGAAGAGCCCCUCCAAGUCCAUGCCCCUCGAGGACCCUGGCCACUGAAGCUGAUCAUGAAAGAAGACUGAAUUCCAACAUGUUCCCUUCAGGGGCUGACCUUGACUUAGGGUUCCAUUGUGUGCCCAGCAGUGGCGGUGCAGGAGCCCCUCCUGGGCUAUUUUCCCUACUCAGCUCAGAGCUGAGGGAGAGGGUGGAGGGGAUCCAUCUUUCUUCAGGCUCCACUAUGGUCCAUUCCAGAAGCCAUUCAAACUUGUUUUAAGCUGGCUGAUUUGCUUAUUGGCUUCAAAAGUUGGAAUUGAAGGGUGAAGGAUGCAGGCAACAGAUCCUUCCCCCACUCCUCCUCCACCCCUCCGAUCCUUCUACUCAGGAGGCCCGGGGGGUGGGGGGAAGUGGAGCCAAACCCUAACCCAAAAGGUAUUGAGGCUCACUGUUCUUCCAGACUUAGUCUACUUUACUUGUGACUCAGAAGCCCUUUCCGAAGCCCUUCCCCUACCCAGCAAGACCACACUCUCUUGCUUCCUUCUCUUUUCUCUUUUUGUACCUGUAAACAAUAUAUUGUCGUAUCUAUUCAAUGCUUGUGCCCACCUCAGGGCUCUGUUCUUGCUGUUCAUUCUGCCUUGAUGUUCUGGCCCAAGAUCUUUGCUCUAAUGCCUUAAGCUCCAUUAUCAUCUCAGAGAGGCUUUCCUUGGAAAUUCAGUGUGGUUUCCAUAGCUACUCUCUAUCCCAUCACUCUAGCACUUAUCACCCUCUGGAAUUACCUUGUUCAUUUAUUUACUUAUUUAUUGCUUGGGUCCCCUCCUCUUCCUCAUGUAAACUUCAUGACUGCCAACACCUGUUUACUGCUACACUUUAAGUUCCCAGCACUAGUUAAGAGCUCAAUAAAUGCUUGUUGACC